This 592-nucleotide long non-coding RNA is filed under the name Homo sapiens (human). RNAcentral's name for it is "non-protein coding lnc-BDNF-6:1". Lineage: Eukaryota; Metazoa; Chordata; Mammalia; Primates; Hominidae. The record is from RNAcentral.
AUUAAUAGAUCACUUUUAGCUCUUGGGAAUGUCAUCAAUGCCUUAGCAGAUUCAAAGAGAAAGAAUCAGCAUAUCCCUUACAGAAAUAGUAAGCUUACUCGCUUGUUAAAGGAUUCUCUUGGAGGAAACUGUCAAACUAUAAUGAUAGCUGCUGUUAGUCCUUCCUCUGUAUUCUACGAUGACACAUAUAACACUCUUAAGUAUGCUAACCGGGCAAAGGACAUUAAAUCUUCUGUAAGUCUGUUUACUCUGCCUUUGUUGUGAAGGUAUUGUCUGCAUAUGAUUUUUAUAAUUGUAAUGAAAGUAUUAAUUCAGGUUAUGUUUCUACAUAAUGAGUUAGGCAGCUGAGGGUUAGAAGGGUCUUUGCUAACCUGCUUAGUCGAACAUUAAUUUAGACGGUUAAACCAUAAAGCAUCUUGAUUAUAUAUAUAUAUAUAUAAUAGAUACUAUUAUUCGAUCUUUUGGGUACUAUGGUACUUGAGUGGCUUUCUCCCUAACCUCUUUGAUGUCAUGGCGUAUUGUAUUUGGAUGGCAUCUUGGAGUAAUCACUCAAAACUUGAACACAUUUGUUGCAGCCCAGGAUGAUGCUCUG